CAGCCGCCGCGGUAAUACGAAGGGGGCUAGCGUUGUUCGGAUUUACUGGGCGUAAAGGGCGCGUAGGCGGGCGAAUAAGUCAGGGGUGAAAUCCCAAGGCUCAACCUUGGAACUGCCUUUGAUACUGUUUGUCUUGAGUUCGAGAGAGGUAAGUGGAACUGCGAGUGUAGAGGUGAAGUUCGUAGAUAUUCGCAAGAACACCAGUGGCGAAGGCGGCUUACUGGCUCGAAACUGACGCUGAGGCGCGAAAGCGUGGGGAGCAAACAGGAUUAGAUACCCCAGUAGUCCCUGUCUCUUAUAC
This 301-nucleotide ribosomal RNA is filed under the name uncultured bacterium. RNAcentral's name for it is "partial 16S ribosomal RNA". It matches the Rfam family "Bacterial small subunit ribosomal RNA", at positions 509 to 807 of the family's 1533-position model. The record is from RNAcentral.